GGGAGGUAGUGACAAUAAAUAACAAUACAGGGUCCUUAUGGGUCUUGUAAUUGGAAUGAGUACAAUUUAAAUCUCUUAACGAGGAACAAUUGGAGGGCAAGUCUGGUGCCAGCAGCCGCGGUAAUUCCAGCUCCAAUAGCGUAUAUUAAAGUUGUUGCAGUUAAAAAGCUCGUAGUUGAAUUUCGGGAUCAAUACGUCGGUCGUGCCUCCGGUAUGUACUGGCGUUAUUGGUUUCUCCUUUCUGACGAACCAUGAUGUCAUUAAUUUGGUGUUAUGGGGAGUUAGGACUGUUACUUUGAAAAAAUUAGAGUGUUUAAAGCAGGCAUUAGCUUGAAUACAUUAGCAUGGAAUAAUGAAAUAGGACGUUCGAUCCUAUUUUGUUGGUUUCUAGGUACAACGUAAUGAUUAAUAGGGAUAGUUGGG
Molecule: ribosomal RNA, 423 nt
Filed under: uncultured Glomeraceae
Lineage: Eukaryota; Fungi; Glomeromycota; Glomeromycetes; Glomerales; Glomeraceae
Description: SSU rRNA
Rfam family: Eukaryotic small subunit ribosomal RNA
Source: RNAcentral